CAUUUUGUCUGUCACAGUGUCGUGUCCCUCUCUCUCUCUCGUUACUCUCCAAGCAGUUCUCACUCUCUAACUCUAUCAUUCUCUCUCCCGUUCUAUCUCUCACUCUCUCUUAAUCUCUCGCUACUCACCAAGGCGGCCGGCAGUGGUGCUCGCCUGGAUCCUGCGGUUCUGCCGUCGACGGCGACGGGCCGGCCAGAUCCACCACUGGCCCAAGUCGUGGUUGCUGCUUCCUCGCGUCGAUCCAGCCGCCACCAUGUUCAUCUCCAUCGUUGGCUGGCGGCGGUGAGGCUGGUGAGCGGCGGAUCCAACGGUGGGGAGGCUCGAGGGCGGCGACGAGGCUGGUGGGCGGUGGAUCCGGCGUUGGGAGGCGAGGCAGUGGGCUCCCGUAGCCGGCGGCUGCCCAGCGGAGGAGGUGGCGGCGGCCGCGCCCUCCCCUCCGCUAGAUGUGGCAGGAGGGGAGGCAACGGGCUCUCGCCGCUGGCGCCUGCCCGGCGGAGGCGGUAGCGGCGGCGGCGGCGGCGGCCGCGCCCUCGAUGGGCGGCGGGUUCCCGUAGGCGGCAGUGUCACUUUCUCCAUGUUUCUCCUCGUCGUGCUCAGAUGCUCUCGAUGGAUCCAUCGCCUUCCUCCUUCUGCUACUUCCUUCCUUUCGUUCUUUCCUCUCGGUUUUCUCUCCUCUCCUCCGCCACUCAGCGACGCCCUCCUUCUCCGCCGAUCCCCCUCCUCGACCACCCACCGACGGCGCCUCUCCCUCUCCUCAGCUCCCCUUCCUCGUCCCCCCACCGAGUCCGCCGGCACGGAUCCAAUUCCCCCGAGCUCACUGGCGAUGGAUCGGCCUUCGCCGUUGGGUGGCAGUCGUCAUCGUAGGAUCGAGCUGCCACGAUGGUCCAGUUCGGUGCCGAGCGGAUUGGGGCGGUCUCGUUCUUUAGGCGGAGGGAGCGGUCGGAGACGAGGAGGCCGAUUGAGUAGUGGAUGCCGGAUCCGGAUAUGGUGCAGUGGACGAAUCUGGAGGUCGAGUUGUACAAGCAGAGCUGUUCGGUCGUCCGGAUAGGAGGGUUCAAGUUGUCGGACGAAGGUGGACCUCUAUGGAUUUUCCAACGAGGAUGCUGCUGUGGCCGCCGGAUCCAGUGACAAUUGACCCCCCCGCAGUAGAGGUGCUUGAACUGGUCACAAAUCUAGGUUCACUAAACCCAAAGGCUUUUGUAGCAAUGGGAUGCCUGGUGCUAGUGGUUACUUGGGCAGCAAUGGGGGUGAUGGUGGGUAUGGCAGUACACCAGGAGCCCAGGAAGAAAAUAUAUGGUCAAUAGGUAAGAUAUAUGGUAAGUUCAAUUCCCACACCACCUCUAAUCGCUGCGCAAUAUUGCUGGUUAUAGAUUGAUUGGUUUAUGACUGGUACUAUAUCAAAUAUAUUACUGUCUUUGAUAUGUUAUCUCUGUAGGAAUCAGAUUACUGUCAUGGUUCUUAUAUUGUGCACUUCCACUUACUGCAAGCUUAAGCUUGUAUCCUGUAUAUUUUAGUUAGUCAAGUAAUAGUAGUAUGAAAACACCAAAACAUUAUAUGUCUAAUCUGAACAAUCAUUUUGAGUAGCCUAAUUGAUUGCAAGCUCUUGUGAUGAUUUUGUUGUGUGCAUGAUUUAUGUUCUGCAUUCAUGUGAAUGUCUGAAUUGAAGGACCCGUCUGGAACUUCCGUGUUGCUAUGUGCCGCUGGACAACUGAAAAAAUUGGCUGUUGCUAACUUGAAAAAAUUGACUGUUGCUAACUUGCUAACUGUUCUGCAUCGACGGGAAAAAAAACCAUACAUAGCAUUGGUUGUGCAUAUGAAAGGCUCAGCUAAACAUUCUCUUCUGAAAACAAGGCUCAUGUAUGUCUGGUUGACCUCUUUAAUUUCUGUAUAAAAACUUCAUGUAUGUCUGGUUGACCUCUUUUAUUUUAUGAUGGUACUGUUAGUUCGAAUUCAUAAGCUGACUUAUCUUAUGAAAUUAAAAUUGCAUUCAGGAUUGAGUUGGUUGAUAACCUGGAAUCGACAUUGAUUGGAGAUUGCUUGACGUCCUAGAGGAAGAGCCUUGCGAUUAAUAUUUUCUUGUGUGCUUCUAUUAUUUCUAUUGCCUGAUUGAAAGCUGGCUUGAUGUUUUAGAGGAAGAGCCUUGUGAUAUAUGUUUUCUUGUCUGCUUCUAUUAUUUAUACUUAUAUAUUGCCUGUAAUGUAAUGUAAUAUUAAAUUGGAGUAGGAAUCGGUGUGGGGGAUACUGAACCUGUGCACGCAAACUGGAUUAGAAUCGGUGUUGUUUCUUUUUAAA
Oryza sativa Japonica Group (Japanese rice) is the source of this 2292-nucleotide RNA transcript. RefSeq lists it as uncharacterized. NCBI's taxonomy places the organism in Eukaryota, Viridiplantae, Streptophyta, Magnoliopsida, Poales, Poaceae. The record is from RefSeq and is a predicted model, not a curated record.